UUUCCACCCUGCGAACCGCCGGGCUGGCGGGACGGUCCAAAUGUCUCAUUGUUGACUCAGCUGGCUUCAGAACUCUCAUUUCGGUGCUGGAAUUCACAAUAUUAGUACUUUGUACAGGGACCUUUCAUGAACGCCUGACAACUGACAGGUCAAUUCAUCACAGACGAAGAAGAAUGGAGAGAAUGGUUGGACCACUUAGACAUUUCUGACAUCUCACAAAAAAAUCAUAAAAGGUUUGUAUUUAGGUCAUUUUAUGUGAAUUGAAUUUUUUUAAUUUUUGUAAAUUUUAACUGAUCUAAGCUAUAUGAGUUGUAUGUU
Molecule: long non-coding RNA, 318 nt
Organism: Ctenopharyngodon idella (grass carp)
Lineage: Eukaryota; Metazoa; Chordata; Actinopteri; Cypriniformes; Xenocyprididae
Exons: 3
Source: RefSeq, a predicted model, not a curated record